AGCAUAGAUGUGCAACUCUCUAUACGGCUUACAAAUAAGGCUUGCAAAAGGCUUCAAUACCAUGAAGGGAUAUUUCUGAAAUGCCUUAUUCCGUGCCUACGAAUAAGGCGAGACAAAGGGAACCACACUUUGUUCCUUCUCUUAUCAUCAAGUUUUACUUAUCAAUUUGCAUUUUGAUACUUUCGAACAUCAUGAGUACCGAAUUGCAUAUCCAUGGUACUGCAAUCCAGAUACAUAACCAC
This 242-nucleotide long non-coding RNA is filed under the name Setaria viridis. Its description in RNAcentral is "long non-coding RNA (SVIR_LNC007254)". Lineage: Eukaryota; Viridiplantae; Streptophyta; Magnoliopsida; Poales; Poaceae. The record is from RNAcentral.